GGAGAUGUAGUUCAGUAGUAGAACAUGCACAUUUAGAGCAUAUCACCUCGUUCGAACUUGUCACUCGAAGGAAACGUCGUCGAUCGAUGGCAGAUAUCAACUUCUUAGAAUGUACGAGACAUGAGUUCGAUUCUCAUCAUCUCCG
Non-coding RNA from Sclerotinia sclerotiorum 1980 UF-70, 145 nucleotides. NCBI's taxonomy places the organism in Eukaryota, Fungi, Ascomycota, Leotiomycetes, Helotiales, Sclerotiniaceae. The record is from the annotation of a RefSeq genome assembly.